RNAcentral lists this ribosomal RNA (253 nucleotides) under uncultured bacterium. RNAcentral's name for it is "partial 16S ribosomal RNA". It matches the Rfam family "Bacterial small subunit ribosomal RNA", at positions 524 to 776 of the family's 1533-position model. The record is from RNAcentral.
UACGAAGGGAGCUAGCGUUGUUCGGAAUUACUGGGAGUAAAGGGCGCGUAGGCGGCUUCGAUAGGUGGGCGUGAAAUGCCUGGGCUCAACCCAGGAAUUGCGCUCAAUACUGUGAGGCUUGAGUGUGGGAGAGGAUAGUGGAAUUCCCAGUGUAGAGGUGAAAUUCGUAGAUAUUGGGAAGAACACCAGCGGCGAAGGCGGCUAUCUGGACCACAACUGACGCUGAGGCGCGAAAGCGUGGGGAGCAAACAGG